RNAcentral lists this ribosomal RNA (235 nucleotides) under uncultured bacterium. Its description in RNAcentral is "partial 16S ribosomal RNA". It matches the Rfam family "Bacterial small subunit ribosomal RNA", at positions 29 to 291 of the family's 1533-position model. The record is from RNAcentral.
AGCGAACGCUGGCGGCAGGCUUAACACAUGCAAGUCGAACGGGCACUUCGGUGUCAGUGGCAGACGGGUGAGUAACGCGUGGGAACAUACCUCUUGGUUCGGAACAACACAGGGAAACUUGUGCUAAUACCGGAUAAGCCCUUACGGGGAAGAUUAUCGCCGAGAGAUUGGCCCGCCGUCUGAUUAGCUAGUUGGUGUGGUAAAAGACGCACCAAGGCGACGAUCAGUAGCUGGC